Molecule: ribosomal RNA, 521 nt
Filed under: uncultured bacterium
Lineage: Bacteria
Description: bacterial SSU rRNA
Rfam family: Bacterial small subunit ribosomal RNA
Source: RNAcentral
AGAGUUGAUCCUGGCUUAGAACGAACGCUGGCGGCGCGUUUAAGCAUGCAAGUCGAGCGGCAAGGGCCUUCGGGCCCCUAGAGCGGCGGACGGGUGAGUAACACGUGGACAAUCCUGCCCCCCGGCCCGGGAUAGCCCAGGGAAACCUGGAUUAAUACCGGAUGGAGACGGGACCCGCGAUGGCGGGAUCCGGGAAAGGCGCUGCGGCGCCGCCGGGGGAUGAGUCUGCGUCCCAUUAGCUAGACGGCGGGGUAACGGCCCACCGUGGCGACGAUGGGUAGCCGGCCUGAGAGGGUGGACGGCCACAUUGGAACUGAGACACGGUCCAGACUCCUACGGGAGGCAGCAGUGGGGAAUAUUGCGCAAUGGGGGAAACCCUGACGCAGCGACGCCCGCGUGAGCGAAGAAGGCCUUCGGGUUGUAAAGCUCUGUUGUAAGGGACGAAUGUCUAGGGUAGUAACUGACCUUAGAAUGACGGUACCUUACCAGCAAGCCCCGGCUAACUACGUGCCAGCCGCGGC